AAUAAACGCUGGCGGUGUACUUAACACAUGCAAGUCGAGCGAGAAAACUCUUUCGGGAGUUAGUAAAGCGGCGGACGGGUGCGUAACACGUGAGAAUCUGCCCUUUAGUGAGGAAUACCCUUGAGAAAUUGAGGUUAAUACUGCAUACGUCCCUUCGGGGAGAAAGAUGGCUUUAUGCUGUCGCUAAAGGAUGAGCUUGCGGACUAUUAGCUAGUUGGUGGGGUAAAGGCCUACCAAGGCGANGAUGGUUAGCCGGCCUGAGAGGGUGUACGGCCACAUUGGGACUGAGG
Molecule: ribosomal RNA, 290 nt
Filed under: uncultured bacterium
Lineage: Bacteria
Description: partial 16S ribosomal RNA
Rfam family: Bacterial small subunit ribosomal RNA
Source: RNAcentral